Molecule: long non-coding RNA, 226 nt
Filed under: Lathyrus oleraceus (garden pea)
Lineage: Eukaryota; Viridiplantae; Streptophyta; Magnoliopsida; Fabales; Fabaceae
Description: Pisum sativum (pea) long non-coding RNA (PSAT_LNC015711)
Source: RNAcentral
AAAAUUAUUUUUUAAUUUUUAAAUUAAAUACUAUUUUUAUGCAUUUAUAAAAAAAAUCAUUUGUAAAAAGGAUUAAAAUUGAAAAUCAGAUUUUUAUUAGAAUAUUAUUCUUUAGAUUAAAUUCUGUUUCGAAUGAACAUAACAACCAAUUUAAUCGGGAAAUCCACCAUUCUUUAUGGUAUCCAAUCACCAUUGUGUGUGUCAAUUAUUUUCAAAGGCACAAUGC